GUGAAUGCCCUUGAGAGUGGAGUCCUCUCUUCACAGAAUAUCCUGGUCAGGAUCAGCACUCCAUGAAAAAUGACCUGGAGGGACCACUGCUAAGGGUGAGACGGGAAUUUAUUCCUUAUGGCUCAUUCAGUCCUUGGACUCU
Molecule: small RNA, 142 nt
Filed under: Gopherus agassizii (Agassiz's desert tortoise)
Lineage: Eukaryota; Metazoa; Chordata; Testudines; Testudinidae
Description: TUC338 (ENSGAGG00000023413.1)
Source: RNAcentral